GUCGUCUUCUAAAACCUGUAACUCAGCACGUAGGCUAGCCUGCUUAGCUAAAAGCUCAGCUAUGAUAUUGGGAUCAUCUUCUUCAUCGCUGCUCUCGUACUGUCCUGCACGACGCUUGAUUGACGGCUGUGCCAAGUGCCUCCUGAUCCUAGGGAGAGUACUAGACGAUUCCAUCUUCUUGGCCUUGCCACCCAUCUUGCUGCUAGCAUGAUUGCCUUGCC
RNAcentral lists this long non-coding RNA (221 nucleotides) under Sorghum bicolor (sorghum). RNAcentral's name for it is "long non-coding RNA (SBIC_LNC017813)". The record is from RNAcentral. Lineage: Eukaryota; Viridiplantae; Streptophyta; Magnoliopsida; Poales; Poaceae.